UAAUUCCAAGCUCCGAGAUGCA
This 22-nucleotide non-coding RNA is filed under the name Arabidopsis thaliana (thale cress). Lineage: Eukaryota; Viridiplantae; Streptophyta; Magnoliopsida; Brassicales; Brassicaceae. The record is from RNAcentral.